Molecule: ribosomal RNA, 253 nt
Filed under: uncultured bacterium
Lineage: Bacteria
Description: partial 16S ribosomal RNA
Rfam family: Bacterial small subunit ribosomal RNA
Source: RNAcentral
CGUGAGAUGUUGGGUUAAGUCCCGCAACGAGCGCAACCCCUAUUGUUAGUUGCCAUCAUUUAGUUGGGCACUCUAGCGAGACUGCCGGUAAUAAACCGGAGGAAGGUGGGGAUGACGUCAAAUCAUCAUGCCCCUUAUGACCUGGGCUACACACGUGCUACAAUGGCUGGUACAACGAGUCGCGAGUCGGUGACGGCAAGCUAAUCUCUUAAAGCCAGUCCCAGUUCGGAUUGUAGGCUGCAACUCGCCUACA